UAAAAUGACUAUAUAAAGUAAAUAAUAAUUAUCAAAAUAAUUAAUAAUUAUAUUGAAUAAUAUGAUUUAAUGUAUAUUUAAUCAUCUUCGGGGCACCACUCUUUGAAACAAAGAAAAUUAUAGCAAAUUUAAUGUAGUCUCAUAAAAUAAGUGUCAAAGUAUACUGAACUACCAAUGUGGAACUCUGAUUGAUAAUUAAAUUAAUAACUAUAACCAUAAAUCACCAGAUCAAUAGAUGGUAUCAGUUGAAGGAUGUUGUAGUUCUUGACAGCAGCGGUCAGCAUUAUUCUCUUUUAUGCAACAUUAAACAGACAAACAUGUAUAACCCACAACAUUUAAUUAUUAGAUAAUAAAAGGUGUAAAAAACAAUAUUAAUCUAACUAAGCAACUAAAAAAAGUGUUUGUGUGUGAGAGACAAAGACAAGAUGGCUUCUUGUCUCAAGAUGGCGACUGAGUCUGCACGGCCUACAAACAAUAUGGCUGGCACUUUAAAACUACAAAAAUGGCCGCCGGGACCGCACAUGUGCUCAGUCAGAACAAAGAGUUGUUUGAUGUGCAGGUUUAAAAACAAACCAAUGCAAUAUAUCACUGACUGGAUCGUCAUCAUUUCCUCAUGUUGAUCAUUACAUUUCUACGGAGCCGCCCAAGGAAAACAUUUCUAUUAACUCGUUCCCUCGAAGAAGUGCUCUAUGAAGGAACGAGGUACUAACUCGAGGGAACAAGUUAAUAAAAAUGUUCUCCUAGGGGUGCUCCGUACGUUUCUGUAUUUUCUGUUGCAGAUUAUUUCUAGGAGACAGAGUUGUAACGUCCGUCCGUCCACUGAUCAUGUGACUUUAUCAGACUUCCUCCCUUUCACAAUAAAAGUCAAACUUCACACUGAGCUGAUAAAAAGUCGACAGAAGGCAGACGGUCGAUUUGUUUCAUUUAUUGUGUUGUUGUUCAGAGGAGGUAACAGUUCCCAUCAGCCUGUUCUGUCACAUUAAAUAAACAACAUGAUGAUGAGAGACAAACAGAGUUUCAGUGCAAACACAAACUGAUGGUGAGAUCACGUAAAAGUGCCGAUCGAUCGAUCGGCUGUUCAACUGGUCAAUACUGUAGUGUGCUUCCAGGAGCUGAUGAGGUAUUUUUCACUGUUUCACACCCAAACACGACAAAUCUGCUCGUUUUUAGCAUCUUUUCU
Sebastes umbrosus (honeycomb rockfish) is the source of this 1180-nucleotide long non-coding RNA. RefSeq lists it as uncharacterized. The transcript is spliced from 2 exons. The record is from RefSeq and is a predicted model, not a curated record. NCBI's taxonomy places the organism in Eukaryota, Metazoa, Chordata, Actinopteri, Perciformes, Sebastidae.